CUUUGGGGUGUGACUGCGUACCUUUUGUAUAAUGGGUCAGCGACUUAUAUUCUGUAGCAAGGUUAACCGUAUAGGGGAGCCGGAGGGAAACCGAGUCUUAACCGGGCGUUAAGUUGCAGGGUAUAGACCCGAAACCCGGUGAUCUAGCCAUGGGCAGGUUGAAGGUUGGGUAACACUAACUGGAGGACCGAACCGACUAAUGUUGAAAAAUUAGCGGAUGACCUGUGGCUGGGGGUGAAAGGCCAAUCAAACCGGGAGAUAGCUGGUUCUCCCCGAAAGCUAUUUAGGUAGCGCCUCGUGAAUUCAUCUCCGGGGGUAGAGCACUGUUUCGGCUAGGGGGCCAUCCCGGCUUACCAACCCGAUGCAAACUGCGAAUACCGGAGAAUGUUAUCACGGGAGACACACGGCGGGUGCUAACGUCCGUCGUGAAGAGGGAAACAACCCAGACCGCCAGCUAAGGUCCCAAAGUCAUGGUUAAGUGGGAAACGAUGUGGGAAGGCCCAGACAGCCAGGAUGUUGGCUUAGAAGCAGCCAUCAUUUAAAGAAAGCGUAAUAGCUCACUGGUCGAGUCGGCCUGCGCGGAAGAUGUAACGGGGCUAAACCAUGCACCGAAGCUGCGGCAGCGACGCUGAUGCGUUGUUGGGUAGGGGAGCGUUCUGUAAGCCUGCGAAGGUGGCCUGUGAGGGUUGCUGGAGGUAUCAGAAGUGCGAAUGCUGACAUAAGUAACGAUAAAGCGGGUGAAAAGCCCGCUCGCCGGAAGACCAAGGGUUCCUGUCCAACGUUAAUCGGGGCAGGGUGAGUCGACCCCUAAGGCGAGGCCGAAAGGCGUAGUCGAUGGGAAACGGGUUAAUAUUCCCGUACUUGGUGUUACUGCGAAGGGGGGACGGAGAAGGCUAUGUUGGCCGGGCGACGGUUGUCCCGGUUUAAGCGUGUAGGUGUGUGUUCCAGGUAAAUCCGGUUCACUUUAACACUGAGGCGUGA
RNAcentral lists this ribosomal RNA (981 nucleotides) under Salmonella enterica. RNAcentral describes it as "partial 23S ribosomal RNA". It matches the Rfam family "Bacterial large subunit ribosomal RNA", at positions 583 to 1566 of the family's 2925-position model. The record is from RNAcentral. Lineage: Bacteria; Pseudomonadati; Pseudomonadota; Gammaproteobacteria; Enterobacterales; Enterobacteriaceae.